GACGAACGCUGGCGGCGUGCUUAACACAUGCAAGUCGAACGGAGCGCUUUUGAUAGAGACUUCGGUCAAUGGAUAAAGUUGCUUAGUGGCGGCUGGUGAGUAACGCGUGAGGAACCUGCCUUUCAGAGGGGGACAACAGUUGGAAACGACUGCUAAUACCGCAUGAUAUGUAACUGGGGCAUCCCGGAUACAUCAAAGAUUUAUCGCUGAAAGAUGGCCUCGCGUCUGAUUAGAUAGUUGGUGGGGUAACGGCCUACCAAGUCGACGAUCAGUAGCCGGACUGAGAGGUUGACCGGCCACAUUGGGACUGAGAUACGGCCCAGACUCCUACGGGAGGCAGCAGUGGGGAAUAUUGGGCAAUGGACGCAAGUCUGACCCAGCAACGCCGCGUGAAGGAAGAAGGCUUUCGGG
Molecule: ribosomal RNA, 411 nt
Filed under: uncultured bacterium
Lineage: Bacteria
Description: bacterial SSU rRNA
Rfam family: Bacterial small subunit ribosomal RNA
Source: RNAcentral